Long non-coding RNA from Felis catus (domestic cat), 1447 nucleotides. RefSeq lists it as uncharacterized. The transcript has 3 exons. NCBI's taxonomy places the organism in Eukaryota, Metazoa, Chordata, Mammalia, Carnivora, Felidae. The record is from RefSeq and is a predicted model, not a curated record.
UUUUCUUUUCUAAUUAGACCCGACUUCGGGUCCAUCCAACAUAAUGACAAGUUCCCAGAAAGGGCCAAUCUUCUUUCCCCCGCUCAGCCCUCAUUAUAAGUCUCAGCUGAUAAGCUGCUGAGUCCUGACACUGCACAUUUAUUUAGAAUUGCAAACACCUGUGCACUAGAAAACCAGGCCAGCAGAAAGCCUUCCUCCUCGCCCGCACCCCCUCCCGGCAGCCUCCACUCUCAGGGGCGGCCUGUCCUCCUGUCCCCCUCGCAGCCCGAACGGGAAGCCAGAAGUCACAGUGAUUCGUGCCCCUCACGACGGCCUGCCUCCCCCACCCCCGCACCUGGGACGACCUCAUUCAGCUUCCCUGUCAGUUCAGUCCCGUCCCCUGCCAGGGCGCCGUCGCACCAAGGGUUAAAGAAAUAAUUAUUGUGGGGCCAGGAGACUUGACACAGCUGGGGACAGGAGAGCCUCCGGCGCUGCAGAAUCUGCCGACUUGCAACUCCAGCAACCGGAGUAGGGCCCACCAUCGCCUCCUCUGCCGUCACUGUGGUCUCAUUCACUUCAAAUUGAACGCUUGUGUCCACAAAAAGACUUGUACGUGAAUGUCGAUGACAGCUUUAUUCAAAACAGCCAAAAGCUAGAAACAGGCCAAGUGCCCAUCAGCAGAAGAAGGGAUAGGCAAACCAAUACUCACACGAUGGAAUACUGUCCAUCAGUGAAACGGGACAGGAUAUGGAUACAUGCAGCAUCGAUGGUCUCACAGAUGUUGUGUUGAGUGAAAGACCAAAAACAUAUAUGCCAUUCGACGCCAUUUCUCUGAAGCGUGAGAUCAGCCAAAACCGAUUUUGGUAACAAGUCAGAAUAGUGGUUAUCUACGGCAGAGGGUGACAGGGGUGGGGAAGAUUGACUAGAAGGGCGUUUUCUGGGAUGACGGAAAUGUUCUGGUGGCCGCAUGGGUAUCUACACUUGCAAAAAAGUCACCACGCUGUCCUCUUAAGAUUUGUUCAUUUUACCAUAUGCAAAUUGAAUCUCAAUAAAGAACUUCUAAAAUUCAAGCAUGAUGUCAUUUAAUUUAAAUUAUAUCCUCCCCUCCAACCUACCAAACUGUCCCAAGCCUCCAGCAGUCUGCUCAAAAUAAAUUCUCUCAACACCCUGGCACUGUUGGCUCUUCUACCAGACUGUGAACUCCCAGCUCUUUAUGGGGACCUCAGAAGUUUGCUGGACAGAUGGACGGGUGCACGAGCACAUUACGACCUCUAACACACGGAAAGAGAAUGAGCUGUCCCACAAAGCUCUAACGCUCUCCCAGAAGAGAGACCAGAUCUGUGUCCACUCAACUAGCCACAACACGGAGAUGACCAGCCAGAGUCAGGCUAGGUGAUCAAAGGGCAGACUUAGGUUAAUGGGUCCACGUUUAGAAGACGCAGGAGGGUCAGUAAUGUACCCUGCAGAC